This 253-nucleotide ribosomal RNA is filed under the name uncultured bacterium. RNAcentral's name for it is "partial 16S ribosomal RNA". It matches the Rfam family "Bacterial small subunit ribosomal RNA", at positions 524 to 776 of the family's 1533-position model. The record is from RNAcentral.
UACAGAGGGUGCAAGCGUUAAUCGGAAUUACUGGGCGUAAAGCGUGCGUAGACGGUUACAUAAGUCGGGUGUGAAAGCCCCGGGCUCAACCUGGGAAUUGCAUUCGAGACUGCGUAGCUAGGGUGCGGAAGAGGGAAGCGGAAUUUCCGGUGUAGCGGUGAAAUGCGUAGAUAUCGGGAGGAACACCUGUGGCGAAAGCGGCGCACUGGACCACAACUGACGCUGAGGCGCGAAAGCUAGGGGAGCGAACGGG